GAACCUGGGACCUUUCAGUCCGCAGGCUGACGCUCUAUCCACUGAGCCAAACCGGUUUCGGCUGGAAGGCCAUUUUUUCUGACUAUAAGUGGGGUCUCACAGAACCAGAAGGAGCACACAGCUCUUCUUAAAAUUGAAGGUGUUUAUACUUGAGAUGAAACUGAAUUCUAUCUAGACAAGAGAUGUGCUUAUGUGUACAAAAGCAAGAUCUCCACAGUGACUCCUGGCAGCAAAUGGAGUAAAACCACAGUAAUCCUGGGAAAGGAGGUACCUGGUGCUCAUGGAAACAGUGGCACGGGUCAUGCUACAUUCCAAAGUGACCUUCCUGCCAAGGCCACUGGACAUAGAGUCUGUGUAAUGUUGUAUCCAUUAAGGAUUUAAACUUAUUGAAAAAUAAAUAAAUGAAAUGGUUUUGU
Molecule: long non-coding RNA, 416 nt
Organism: Pipistrellus kuhlii (Kuhl's pipistrelle)
Lineage: Eukaryota; Metazoa; Chordata; Mammalia; Chiroptera; Vespertilionidae
Exons: 2
Source: RefSeq, a predicted model, not a curated record